This 372-nucleotide ribosomal RNA is filed under the name uncultured organism. RNAcentral describes it as "bacterial SSU rRNA". It matches the Rfam family "Bacterial small subunit ribosomal RNA", at positions 526 to 896 of the family's 1533-position model. The record is from RNAcentral.
CGUAGGGUGCGAGCGUUAAUCGGAAUUACUGGGCGUAAAGGGUGCGCAGGCGGCGUCGCAAGUCAGGCGUGAAAUCCCCGGGCUUAACCUGGGAACUGCACUUGAAACUACGAUGCUGGAGUAUGGCAGAGGGAGGUGGAAUUCCACGUGUAGCGGUGAAAUGCGUAGAGAUGUGGAGGAACACCGAUGGCGAAGGCAGCCUCCUGGGCCAAUACUGACGCUCAUGCACGAAAGCGUGGGGAGCAAACAGGAUUAGAUACCCUGGUAGUCCACGCCCUAAACGAUGAUGACUAGUUGUUGGAGGAGUUAAAUCCUUUAGUAACGCAGCUAACGCGAGAAGUCAUCCGCCUGGGGAGUACGGUCGCAAGAUUA